UCCACCUGCUCCCAGCGCACACAGGCGGUACCCCUGCUGCCCUCCUGUAGCAGUGACAGGACCAGGUAUUUUCUGCAGCCUGAACCGCGACAUGGACAUGCGUGCUUUAGCAGCUGCUCGUGGCCCUGUGGAGACCGUGGUCGUACCCGGGUGUGUCUGGAGAGCAACGUCCUGUUAAGUGACCCGUUAAGGGCUAAGCCUCCUCGCACACAGCAAGGCGCCGUAACCUGAGCUCCCUGCUCCCCCCACCAACUGCCGCGCCGCGCCGCCCGUCCCCUUCACCGCGCCCUCUGGGCUCUGCCGUUAAUCGCACGGAGAGGGGGUGCCGCCGACACUCUUCGCUCCACCCACACGCGUGAGAGCGGCCGGGCUGGAGGGGGUUGCCUCGCUUUCCUUCAGCUUCUUAGAACUUUCUAGGCGCGAUUGUGGCCACAACUUGGACCUUCUAAGAACAGUGCUGCGUCGUGACGCUCUGCUACCAGGCUGAUCCGCUCGGGGUUUGUCCGGAAAUGGCGGACGCAGGAAUGUUCCAAAAUGAUCUUAAUUUCUACAGAGAGGAAAAGAUAAUGUGCCACUGGACAAGCAUCAGCUAAGGAGAAAUGAGGGUCCAACGAUGAAGGAUUUCUAUGACUUCUUGGAACAAACAGCUAAAGUUUCUCCAUAUCUGUCAACAAUUUAGUCGUUGAUAAUGGACUCGUUUCAUUGCACAGUGAAAAGCAAGCCCUGUAAACUGUUCCAAAACUGAAUCUCAGUCUGUGGUAUAUACAUUUACAUGGGCCUUGGUUUUGUAAUGUUCUUCAGUUAUACAAUGAGCACUGACUGAUAUAAGAAUUGCUUCAAAACAACGUUUUCCUUGUGCAAGCGGCAACUCCUCUGGCUAUAAAUAAACACUCAAACAAGGCAGCUUUAAAUAGCUUAAAAAUAACACUCUUCCAUUUCUUCCAAGCAGUAAAGUUAUGUAAAAGCAUUGCAACUGAAGAAAGGUAGGAGCCUGUAAUAGGAGCCUGAAGGGUAGGCAGAUGCUAUGGUGAUGUAAGGGCUGUGUAAGACUAUAAAUCAAACUUUAUACAGACUGUUUUAAAGCUGGGGGAGACACGUUCCCUAACCUUGGGGGAUUUGAAUCCUAUUGAAAAUGACAAGAUGCU
Molecule: long non-coding RNA, 1145 nt
Filed under: Gallus gallus (chicken)
Lineage: Eukaryota; Metazoa; Chordata; Aves; Galliformes; Phasianidae
Description: lncRNA (ENSGALG00010004176.1)
Source: RNAcentral